GAUGAACGCUGGCGGCGUGCCUAAUACAUGCAAGUCGAGCGAACGGACGAGAAGCUUGCUUCUCUGAUGUUAGCGGCGGACGGGUGAGUAACACGUGGAUAACCUACCUAUAAGACUGGGAUAACUUCGGGAAACCGGAGCUAAUACCGGAUAAUAUUUUGAACCGCAUGGUUCAAAAGUGAAAGACGGUCUUGCUGUCACUUAUAGAUGGAUCCGCGCUGCAUUAGCUAGUUGGUAAGGUAACGGCUUACCAAGGCAACGAUGCAUAGCCGACCUGAGAGGGUGAUCGGCCACACUGGAACUGAGACACGGUCCAGACUCCUACGGGAGGCAGCAGUAGGGAAUCUUCCGCAAUGGGCGAAAGCCUGACGGAGCAACGCCGCGUGAGUGAUGAAGGUCUUCGGAUCGUAAAACUCUGUUAUUAGGGAAGAACAUAUGUGUAAGUAACUGUGCACAUCUUGACGGUACCUAAUCAGAAAGCCACGGCUAACUACGUGCCAGCAGCCGCGGUAAUACGUAGGUGGCAAGCGUUAUCCGGAAUUAUUGGGCGUAAAGCGCGCGUAGGCGGUUUUUUAAGUCUGAUGUGAAAGCCCACGGCUCAACCGUGGAGGGUCAUUGGAAACUGGAAAACUUGAGUGCAGAAGAGGAAAGUGGAAUUCCAUGUGUAGCGGUGAAAUGCGCAGAGAUAUGGAGGAACACCAGUGGCGAAGGCGACUUUCUGGUCUGUAACUGACGCUGAUGUGCGAAAGCGUGGGGAUCAAACAGGAUUAGAUACCCUGGUAGUCCACGCCGUAAACGAUGAGUGCUAAGUGUUAGGGGGUUUCCGCCCCUUAGUGCUGCAGCUAACGCAUUAGGCACUCCGCCUGGGGAGUACGACCGCAAGGUUGAAACUCAAAGGAAUUGACGGGGACCCGCACAAGCGGUGGAGCAUGUGGUUUAAUUCGAAGCAACGCGAAGAACCUUACCAAAUCUUGACAUCCUUUGACAACUCUAGAGAUAGAGCUUUCCCCUUCGGGGGACAAGGUGACAGGUGGUGCAUGGUUGUCGUCAGCUCGUGUCGUGAGAUGUUGGGUUAAGUCCCGCAACGAGCGCAACCCUUAAGCUUAGUUGCCAUCAUUAAGUUGGGCACUCUAAGUUGACUGCCGGUGACAAACCGGAGGAAGGUGGGGAUGACGUCAAAUCAUCAUGCCCCUUAUGAUUUGGGCUACACACGUGCUACAAUGGACAAUACAAAGGGCAGCGAAACCGUGAGGUCAAGCAAAUCCCAUAAAGUUGUUCUCAGUUCGGAUUGUAGUCUGCAACUCGACUACAUGAAGCUGGAAUCGCUAGUAAUCGUAGAUCAGCAUGCUACGGUGAAUACGUUCCCGGGUCU
This 1372-nucleotide ribosomal RNA is filed under the name uncultured bacterium. RNAcentral's name for it is "bacterial SSU rRNA". It matches the Rfam family "Bacterial small subunit ribosomal RNA", at positions 28 to 1381 of the family's 1533-position model. The record is from RNAcentral.